CCGACAAACGCUGGUAACAAAAAGUGUGCCGACUGUGCAGAUCGUUGCGGCGCCGCGUAAAGCAACAUACUUUAAAGACCACAGGAGAUCCCAGAAAGAGGGCAUGGCACAUUCAGACAUUUUCCCCUGUGGUCAGAUCAGCGACGCUACGCCGGCCAAUAAAGUCUUCUCCGUAGCAGAGAAGGAAGAGCUGUCAAGUCCUGCUCCUAAGAACAGCCGUCAGCAGGAGGAUCGAUGGGGUUUACGCACAGAGGCAUGAAGCGGGACGCGGCGGGCUCUCUGGUGGGAGAUUUCUCGCGCGGCUUUGGAUCGACUUCAGAUAACGAUGGGUUUUAAAAGCCAACACUUAUCCGUCUAACUGGUUACAGAACGAUGGGUUUGAACAUUUUUUUCCCCCCUCCUCCCCUCCGUCCCAGCAGAUGGAACAAUGUUAAAAGCAGAAAACGUGCUGCGCAAAUCAUGCGAAUGGACCCUUUGGUGCUCCGAGUUCUCAUCUCCGCUCUUCCAGCUCUGACUCACACUGUCUGGGCGUACUUCCUCAGAAACAUGCCACAAAGGCUUACUGGAAGAAACUGACACCAUAUUAGGAACUGAGCUCCAUGCAGGCAAUGUGAGCGGGGAUGUCAGAUACGCUCAGAAAAAUGUAAAAAAAAAAAAAAAAAAAAAAAAAAAGCAACAUCCACAUAACUUCCAGAAAAUCCUGCAGGAUUUUCAUGAAACCCGAGGUGCUGAAAGCUGCUACAUCCGAAAUGUGUCCAAAACCAUAAACUAAAACGCAAUCUGUGAGCAACGGUCGCAAAUGUGAAUCUGGGGAAGCCGCUUCCCGUGACGCCGGAUCCUGGUUACAAUGAACAAUUGACCAACCGAUAAAAAGUCGGGCCUUGAACAGCGAUUGCUUCUAAAAAUAUCCUGACUCUGCUUCCUAAGGGAGAAGGAGACGUUUAACUUUACAAAAAACAUAAUACAACCAACAGAGGAGUAAGUGAGCUCAAACAUGACUGAUAAAAAUGGAAAAUACUCAACUCCCCCUGUCAGUAAACGAAAUGACUUGCUAA
Molecule: long non-coding RNA, 1055 nt
Organism: Fundulus heteroclitus (mummichog)
Lineage: Eukaryota; Metazoa; Chordata; Actinopteri; Cyprinodontiformes; Fundulidae
Exons: 2
Source: RefSeq, a predicted model, not a curated record